CGCGUAGGCGGGCUAUUAAGUUGGGGGUGAAAUUCCGAGGCUUAACUUCGGAACUGCCUUCAAAACUGGUAGCCUUGAGGUAUGGAGAGGGAAGUGGAAUUCCAGGUGUAGCGGUGAAAUGCGUAGAUAUCUGGAGGAACACCCGUGGCGAAGGCGGCUUCCUGGUCAUAUCCUGACGCUGAGGUGCGAAAGCUAGGGGAGCGAACG
This 207-nucleotide ribosomal RNA is filed under the name uncultured Armatimonadota bacterium. Its description in RNAcentral is "uncultured Armatimonadetes bacterium partial 16S ribosomal RNA". It matches the Rfam family "Bacterial small subunit ribosomal RNA", at positions 568 to 774 of the family's 1533-position model. Lineage: Bacteria; Bacillati; Armatimonadota. The record is from RNAcentral.